Molecule: non-coding RNA, 53 nt
Organism: Palleronia marisminoris
Lineage: Bacteria; Pseudomonadati; Pseudomonadota; Alphaproteobacteria; Rhodobacterales; Roseobacteraceae
Source: Rfam
CUUUGCCGGGAUCGCCCCCCGCCAGCGAGUUUCGCCCGCGGGGGCGAAUUCCG